Molecule: RNA transcript, 1170 nt
Organism: Mus musculus (house mouse)
Lineage: Eukaryota; Metazoa; Chordata; Mammalia; Rodentia; Muridae
Gene: Alms1-ps2
Gene name: ALMS1, centrosome and basal body associated, pseudogene 2
Exons: 8
Source: RefSeq, marked validated
CUCAAACUGACAGAGCUACAUCUACCUCUGCCUCCUGAGAGUUGGGAUCAAAGGCAUUCCCUACCACACCUGCCUUUAGAUUGUUUUUAGUUGUUGGAAUACAACUAUGACCAUUUGUCUAGAAGUUUUAUGUGGCAAACCAUAUGACUUCUUCUGACUCUGUUUCAUCUCCUGGGAGCUUGUUGAGCUUGGACUCUGCUCUUUCCAAUGAGGAAACUGUACGCAUGGUGAGCAAGGGUGUACAAGCUGGUAACUUGGAGAUUGUGGCUGGUGUCAAAAAAUACACUCAGGAUGUUGGGGUGACUUUCCCAACUCCCAGUUCUAGUGAGGCCAGAUUGGAAGAGGACAGUGGUGUGACUUCUUCGUCAGAAGAAAAAGCCAAAGAGAAAAAGUUUCUUUCCAAUUAUCUGCAGACCAAAAACUUAAGGAAGAACAAGCCAAAUCCCUGUGCAGGUGUCUCAUGGUUCGUUCCUGUGGAAAAUGGACAAUCAGGAUCUAAGAAGGAAAACCUGCCCAAGAUUUACAGACCUGGUAUCUCCUGGUUUGAACCAGUAACCAAAACCAAACCCUGGAGGGAGCCACUGAGGGAACAAAACUGGCAGGCCCAAUGCAUGAACAGUCGUGGGUCCCUGGGAGGCCCAGGCAGGGAUAGUGGCCAGGUUUCUCUUCGGCCAUUUGUGAGAGCAACUCUGCAGGAAUCACUUCAGCUUCACAGACCUGAUUUCAUCUCCCACUCUGGGGAGCGCAUAAAGCGUCUGAAGUUACUUGUCCAGGAGAGGAAGCUCCAGAGCCUGUUCCAGAGUGAGCGGGAGGCUCUGUUCCACUCAGCGAGGCCCCUGCCCAGGAGAGUCCUCCUGGCUGUCCAGAAGAACAAGCCUAUUGGAAAGAAGGAAAUGAUUCAGAGGACCAGACGAAUUUAUGAGCAGCUUCCAGAAGUGAAGAAGAAGAGAGAAGAGGAGAAGAGAAAAUCAGAAUAUAAAUCCUACCGGCUGCGUGCUCAGCACUAUAAAAUGAAAGUGACCAAUCAUCUCCUGGGGAGAAAAGUGCCUUGGGACUGACAUAAGACUACUUUCUUCAGAGCCUAGGAAUCCUUUUUUUUUUUUUUUAAUGAUCCCAAAGAGACUAAUUUAUAUUUGUGUGAAUAUGAUUUAAUAAAGCGUUGUCUUUGUC